Molecule: ribosomal RNA, 497 nt
Filed under: uncultured bacterium
Lineage: Bacteria
Description: partial 16S ribosomal RNA
Rfam family: Bacterial small subunit ribosomal RNA
Source: RNAcentral
GAUGAACGCUGGCGGCGUGCCUAAUACAUGCAAGUAGAACGCUGAAGCUUGGUGCUUGCACCGAGCGGAUGAGUUGCGAACGGGUGAGUAACGCGUAGGUAACCUGCCUCUUAGCGGGGGAUAACUAUUGGAAACGAUAGCUAAUACCGCAUAAAAGUCGAUAUCGCAUUAUAUUGAUUUGAAAGGUGCAAAUGCAUCACUAAGAGAUGGACCUGCGUUGUAUUAGCUAGUUGGUGAGGUAACGGCUCACCAAGGCGACGAUACAUAGCCGACCUGAGAGGGUGAUCGGCCACACUGGGACUGAGACACGGCCCAGACUCCUACGGGAGGCAGCAGUAGGGAAUCUUCGGCAAUGGGGGCAACCCUGACCGAGCAACGCCGCGUGAGUGAAGAAGGGUUUCGGAUCGUAAAGCUCUGUUGUAAGAGAAGAACGAGUGUGAGAGUGGAAAGUUCACACUGUGACGGUAACUUACCAGAAAGGGACGGCUAACUACGUG